GACGAACGCUGGCGGCGUGCUUAACACAUGCAAGUCGAACGGAAAGGCCCUGCUUUUGUGGGGUGCUCGAGUGGCGAACGGGUGAGUAACACGUGAGUAACCUGCCCUUGACUUUGGGAUAACUUCAGGAAACUGGGGCUAAUACCGGAUAGGAGCUCCUGCUGCAUGGUGGGGGUUGGAAAGUUUCGGCGGUUGGGGAUGGACUCGCGGCUUAUCAGCGUGUUGGUGGGGUAGUGGCUUACCAAGGCUUUGACGGGUAGCCGGCCUGAGAGGGUGACCGGCCACAUUGGGACUGAGAUACGGCCCAGACUCCUACGGGAGGCAGCAGUGGGGAAUAUUGCACAAUGGGCGGAAGCCUGAUGCAGCAACGCCGCGUGCGGGAUGACGGCCUUCGGGUUGUAAACCGCGUUCGCCUGUGACGAAGCGUGAGUGACGGUAAUGGGUAAAGAAGCACCGGCUAACUACGUG
RNAcentral lists this ribosomal RNA (468 nucleotides) under uncultured bacterium. RNAcentral's name for it is "partial 16S ribosomal RNA". It matches the Rfam family "Bacterial small subunit ribosomal RNA", at positions 28 to 507 of the family's 1533-position model. The record is from RNAcentral.